ACGCACGCUGGCGGCGUGCUUAACACAUGCAGGUCGCACGGAAAGGCCCUGCUUUUGUGGGGUGCUCGAGUGGCGAACGGGUGAGUAACACGUGAGUAACCUGCCCUUGACUUUGGGAUAACUUCAGGAAACUGGGGCUAAUACCGGAUAGGAGCUCCUGCUGCAUGGUGGGGGUUGGAAAGUUUCGGCGGUUGGGGAUGGACUCGCGGCUUAUCAGCUUGUUGGUGGGGUAGUGGCUUACCAAGGCUUUGACGGGUAGCCGGCCUGAGAGGGUGACCGGCCACAUUGGGACUGAGAUACGGCCCAGACUCCUACGGGAGGCAGCAGUGGGGAAUAUUGCACAAUGGGCGGAAGCCUGAUGCAGCAACGCCGCGUGCGGGAUGACGGCCUUCGGGUUGUAAACCGCUUUCGCCUGUGACGAAGCGUGAGUGACGGUAAUGGGUAAAGAAGCACCGGCUAACUACGUG
This 467-nucleotide ribosomal RNA is filed under the name uncultured bacterium. RNAcentral's name for it is "partial 16S ribosomal RNA". It matches the Rfam family "Bacterial small subunit ribosomal RNA", at positions 29 to 507 of the family's 1533-position model. The record is from RNAcentral.